This 494-nucleotide ribosomal RNA is filed under the name uncultured bacterium. RNAcentral's name for it is "partial 16S ribosomal RNA". It matches the Rfam family "Bacterial small subunit ribosomal RNA", at positions 28 to 507 of the family's 1533-position model. The record is from RNAcentral.
GACGAACGCUGGCGGCGUGCUUAACACAUGCAAGUCGAACGGAAAGGCCUGCUUUCCCUUGUGGAUUGCGGGUACUCGAGUGGCGAACGGGUGAGUAACACGUGAGUGAUCUGCCCCCAAAUUGGGUAUAAGCCGGGGAAACUGGGUCUAAUUCCCGAUAGGACUGCAGGGUGGGGCCGGUGGUGGAAAACGAUUUUCUAGUGGUUGGGGAUGAGCUCGCGGCCUAUCAGCUUGUUGGUGGGGUAAUGGCCUACCAAGGCGGCGACGGGUAGGCGGCCUGGGAGGGUGGACGGGCACAUUGGGACGGCGAUACGGCCCCGACGCCUACGCGCGGAAGCAGUGGGGAAGAUGGCGCGAGGGGCGGAAGCCUGUGGCCGGGACGCCGAGUGGGGGAUGACGGCCUUCGGGUUGUAAACUCCUUUCGACCGCGAGGAAGCCACCUGGUUGGAAGGGUGGUGACGGUAGUGGUAGAAGAAGCACCGGCUAACUACGUG